CACACUUUGACUCUGCUAUAAAUAUGCAUGAUUAGGCAGGAUCCAGGAGGUGGCUGAGCAGAGACCACGAAUGGUUAGUCCCUAAGCAGAGCGACGGAGUCUCACCACAUCGGAAAGGCCUUGGAGAAAUCACCAAGACUCCAGCAACGGAGAGUCGGCUCCAUCUCAGGAGGCGGAACUAGGUUUCUCCAGGUCAGAAGGGCUGCAAAUGUGAAGGGAGGACAGAGGACAGAGGAAGAAAGACAGAAGGGACACUUGGACGGAUCAAAGAUAAGGAGGCUCCCAGAGCAGAGAGAGCCACUGUAGUUUCCAGCAGAGCCUUGGUUGGUGAAAGGGAAUGUCAAAGUGCCACUGAAAACUGUGGCUGGUUCUGCUGUGUCCUCUGCAUUCAAGCUUAUAUUUUUAUUAUAAUCUUUAUUCUAACAUGUG
Molecule: long non-coding RNA, 429 nt
Filed under: Equus asinus (donkey)
Lineage: Eukaryota; Metazoa; Chordata; Mammalia; Perissodactyla; Equidae
Description: lncRNA (ENSEASG00005032424.1)
Source: RNAcentral